CUUCCCGCCUCAGCUACAGGCCUGUGGGGCCGCCUUCCGGGCGCCGCAGCCGCCUGGGCUGUGUGGUUCCAUCUUGCAGAUGGGAUCAGAUGGCCCUGGAGGUGGGGUCCCCCGGGUGUGCGCCCCAGACGUGCAAGCGCCUCCCCACGCCCCAUCAAUAAGGGUCACAGCCCCCUCCCCAGACCUGGCGGGGCCUCCCAGCCCUUCACGCAGCGCUGACGGGGCCUCUGCCCACCGGCCACCCUGGUCUCAAGACGGAGCCCACGUCUCCUGCUUGGGCUGGAUGAGUGACCCUUCCCUGCGGCCAUGAACAGGGAGCUUUAAACGUGUUGAGGUUGGACCCUGCCCAGCCCGGCUGAACCCCACUCUGUAGGAGGCGCAGGCAUCAGACGCCGGGGACGUCAUGGUGGAGGAGACUACCCGUGAGCCCGGUGACGUCACGGUGGAGACCACCCGCGAGGCUGGUGACGUCACAGUGCAGGAGACCACCGCGAACCUGGUGACGUCACGGUGGGGGAGACCACCCCGAGCCCUGUGACGUCACGGUGGAGGAGACCACCCUGAGCCUGGUGACGUCACGGGUGGAGGAGACCGCCCCGAGCCCUGUGACUUCACGGUGGAGGAGACCACCCUGAGCCCGGUGACGUCACGGGUGGAGGAGACCGCCCCGAGCCCUGUGACUUCACGGUGGAGGAGUCCACCCCGAGCCUGGUGACAUCAUGGUGGAGGAGACCGCCCCUGAGCCCGGGUGCCCCUGAUCCCAGGCACUGGAUGGGAUCCCCGGGGGCCAUGUUUUAAAAUCAGUUUAUUUGCUCUCUCAUCUAUAAAUUAUUUUUUAAUUGCAAUAAGACCGCCUACUCAAAAAGAGUUCUGGAGACAGAUGAUGGUGGUGUCUGCAUGUAGGAAUGUAUUUAAUGCCACUGAACUGAACACUUAAAAAUGGUUAAGACGGCACACUUUUUGUUACCUGUAUUUACCACAAUAAAAAAUUGGGAGAAAAAGUAAACACUGACCUUUCAAACACACUAGCUGGUCCUGAGGAUGUGCGUUUUGUGUUAGUGAGGCAUAAAGGAACCUCAGAGCGUUGGCCAAAAGAUGUGGCCAUUAAUAAACUAUGAUUUGGGGUAAAUGUCUGAGCCUCAUUUUUUCAACUGUAUAAGGGAGAUUAAAAAUAACAUAGUCCUCUGUGAUGUGGGGGCAAAUAACAAAUGUUUGCUUUGGUAACUGCAAAUUGUGAAUAAAUGUCACUGUAUAGUUAAAAAACAACAGCAGCUCAUCUGGUCAGCACAGCACCACCAGCCUCCCUCAUGGCAGAAACCCAACAUCUGGUCAGCAUAGCACCGCUAGCCUCCUUCAUGGCAGAAACCCAACUCUGGUGUAGCGUCAGCACUGAACAACAGAUGGAACAUUAGCCCAGGACACAUAGCGGAUCCUGAAGACAGGCAUUUGCUCGUGGGUUGAAUUUGGAGAAGCACAACACAUUCAGAGGGUAACUGUUCCUGAUCUUCAAGGUCGUCCAUUAAUAAGUGUUCAAAGUUGGUUUGUUCUCCAGUUUUCGACGUAUCUGUGUGUACAGUGAAGUGUCAAGAACUCCAGCCUCCACCGAUUCGAGACCACUUGUCCUCUGUACAAAUACUUAGCCUGGCAGCAGAGCGAAGAAGAGACUGCAGGGCAUGUUUGUUCUCUGCAGAUGCUGGCACCACCCACGAAAGGCAAACAACUGUGUCUGUGGAGCUGGAUCCCCUCUGGUCACAGGGAACAGCCAGACUUCCUGGGACAGGGGUCAGAAGGCGGGAGACAGGCAGGGGCAGCCAGUGAGGAAGGAACCAGGACGAGGUCCCAGUAGACGCCCGGGAGGAGACAGCCCAAGCGGAGGAGAGGCCUGGAAGCAGGCGGGCGCCCUGAGCCUUCAUGUCCCCUUUGCUGGGGUUUGCCUCAAUCAAUACUUUUUGGACAAGACCUGGAUUGAGACAGAAAGUUGAUAUUAUACAAACUAAGAGCGCGUGGCUGUCUGUGGGGACAGGACCAGGAAGAAGCCGCCUGGUUGCUCUCAGGCCACCUCGGAGAAGGUGGGAGGUGACUUCAAGACAGAGAGGACACCAGAGAGGCUGCUCCCAGCCAGCAGAGCCGAGCACAGGUGUGGAGCCUCGAAGUGGCCUUGACUCCAAGGGGACUUUGGAGCAAGCCCAGCAGCGGAGCCAGGCAAUGGGUGGGGUUUGUCCGCCAGAGAAGGGCAGAGCAGAGGCCCAGCCAGAACUUUCAACCUGAAACCCAGGAUCCCUCAGACCCUCUGAUCGGCAGAAGCUCCUUUAACUGGGAAUUUGUUUAUAUUUCAAGUGAACUGUUGCUAAACGCUGUGUUUUAGGCUAGAUGAAUCAAGGCCUGGCACACCUGACGAUGUCAAAGGGGGCCUGGGAGCUGGAGACUUCCGUGUCCAUGGGCAAAAGCAGGGUGGUGCUCAGGUGCUGGGAGGAGGUCCUGGGCCUCUGUGUCCUUGCAGCAGGAGGCUGGAUGUAGAAGAGAAGGCAGCCGCCUGGGCGUUCAGUGCCGCCCGACAGACGGCCCCACCUCUGCCACAGCCCUUCCCGCCUGGUCCAUGCCCUGCACCAACCCCAAAGUGACCUCUGUAAAACUCAGGGCCAUUUUCCUGACGGAAAUUCCACAAUGACCUUCAAUCUUAGUCGUACAAUGGAAUCUCUUGUAGAUAUAUAUAUUUUUAAAUGCUCACACCUGGGCAUCACCAGAAAUUUAGGCCUCAUUGGUCUGGGCUGGAGUCCGGGCACUGUUAAAAGCCCCAGGUGAUCCUGACACAGCCGGGUGGGGUUGGCACAGGUGGAAUCCCUCCUUCAUGAUGUCCCGGCAGCUGCUUGAACCACCCCAAGCAUCAUCUCGCAAACAGCAGCGAUGAUAAUGAAAUGCCCACCUGCACCUGAGGUCCUGCAGUCCUGCAGCCGCCAAGCUGGUCCACACCUGCAACCGAGGUCCUGCAGCCACCAAGCUGGUCCACACCUGCACCUGAGGUCCUGCAGCCGCCAAGCUGGUCCACACUUGCACCCGAGGUCCUGCAGUCCUGCAGCCCUGCAGCCACCAAGCUAGUCCACGCCUGCACCCGAGGUCCUGCAGCCGCCAAGCUGGUCCACGCCUGCACCCGAGGUCCUGCAGCCGCCAAGCUGAUCCACGCCUGCACCCAAGGUCCUGCAGCCACCAAGCUGGUCCACACCUGCACCUGAGGUCCUGCAGUCCUGCAGCCACCAAGCUGGUCCACACCUGCACCCGAGGUCAUGCAGCCACCAAGCUGGUCCACGCCUGCACCUGAGGUCCUGCAGCCCUGUGGCCACCAAGCUGGUCCACGCCUGCACCCGAGGUCCUGCAGUCCUGUGGCUGCCAAGCUUGUCCAUGCCCUGUAACCUGCUUGAAAGGCACUUUAAGACCUGCACCCGAGGUCCUGCAGUCCUGUGGUCCUGUGGCCACCAAGCUGGCCCAUGCCCCUGUCACUUGCUUGAAAAACGCUUCAACACCUGGCUUCCACAUCCCUUCCUGGAGCUUCCCAGAGCCUCCAGUGAGUCUGCAGCUCCCAGCUCUGCACUGCCUGAAAUCACAGGGAGACGUACGUGUCAAGGUGCGAGUGCCAUGCCUGUCCUCUCAGGAACAGCAUUCUGAGCUCCUCACUGUGGAAGCUGCUCUGGUCUCUGCUUCCACGUGGGCACAGGCCAUCAUGCAGCAAGGUGUGAGCGAGGACCCCACUCUCAAAAUGCAACACGCUUGACUGUCCAAUACACACAAGGACUCAUGUGCACACACAAGUGUCUACACAUGUCCACACAGUACAUAUGCCCACACACACGGUACAGUCAUACACGUGCACACAAGUGCAAUGCACACAUCCAUGUGUCUGCACAUGUUCACAUGUGAAGACGUGUUUGCAUGUGUAUUCACAUGUGUGGACACCUGUGCACACCCCCGCACCACCACUGUCACCACUGUGUCUCUGGUGGUAGUGAGAGGGUAAGGGUAAGAAUUUCUGGAUCCCACAUACGAUAUCCUAAAGCAAAAUGCCCUCACGCCUCCUCCCUGAGAGAAGACGCAGCAGCCACAGGAAGUGAGCUUCUUGGACAAGGAACAUCAGGCGUCCAGUGCCCCACCGGCUUCCUGGUGCCUAGUCCCCUAAAGAGGUGAGAGGUGCUGAUAAAAUGAGCUGCUGUGCUGAUGCCUGGGGUGACUGGGGUGGAGGGAUGUGGGGGCGGCAGCCCUGUUGUCCUGGAGCUGCUCCUUCUCCCCACUGCAUCACUCCUGGGCCUCUCCUGGAGGCCUGAGCCAUCCUCCCCAGGGCAGCCCCAGGCUGUGCUGCCUGAGCAAACCCAGAGCCCAGCCCUCCCUCCCCCUGCAGCCUGAGGGCAGGGACCAUGGCAAGCCCUUCUCCUACAGCCCCAGUGCCUCAGCAGCCUCAUUUUCGGGGACGUGCCAGCUCAUUUUCUGGUCUGUUUUGUGGUGUGGCAACAGCCUCGAAUCACAGCAGCCUGAACAGCCCAGUAAAUAUUUACACAAACCUGGGGCUGGCAGGCCCUCUCCUUUGUGGGGCUGCCCUGCUGAAAGGGAGGGGAGCCAGGCCGGCUCAGUCCCAGCUCGGCGCAGAUGGUGCCUGCAGCACGCAGUUCUUGCGGGGACGCAGCCGGGAUGCAGACGUGGGCUUUUGAAGCCCCCGGCAAAAGCUGGUGGCCGCUCCUGGCUGGGGUUCUGUGGUCUUGUGUCUGGAAAUGUGGCCUGGGAACAUCCCUGAGGUCUCCCCAGAACAGCAAGGAUUGUCUUCUUUCUUAUGCUCUUCAUCAAUGCACAGGCAGCCCUCUGAAGUCCUCAGAAUGCUCCAGAUCUGGACAGUCACCUCCCAGCUGGGCUCUGGUGCUCUGGAAAUCAGAAACAGGUUUCUUAUGUGGUUCAUUUUUCUCCAUUUCCAGGCAUUUUUAUUGUUAUUCUUAUUAACAAAUGACAUCAUCACUGCCAGUCAUAGUAAGUGUAUAAAAGUGCAUUUAUGGGGCAUAUCCAUUGAGGCGUUCCCAGGACAGAGACGGGCCAGGGAGGCCAGAGUUCUCCGCCUUCAGCAAAGGCAGCCAUGAGUCAGUCAUAAGUUAGGGUGACAGGCGCCUGGCGUCACAGGAGACCUCAGGCCACGGUCACAGGGAGAACUGGGCAUCAUCACCGGGCGCCUGGCCUGUGUGCCCCCAUCCAACCAGCCCGAGCUAUGAGCUCCUCAUAACCAGCAGCCCGAAACCAGAGAGGACUAACAUCUACACCUCCUCUACACCCAACAGGGACAGCUCACAGCGCCCAGGGCUCAAUGGAGACCAGAUGUUUGGGAGAGGUGGGAGAGGACAUGGGGUGAGGCCUGCUGCUUCUCCAGUGAAUAAGGUGGCUGGAAUUAGGAUUAAAUUUGUAAGGGAAUGUUUGGGCCAGAGGACCCACCAUUUCUGCGGUCUGUAUCUCCCCCAACACCCCAAAUGUCCAACAAGGACACAGAGCCCAGGAAAAAGCCGGGCUCAGGGAGGAGACUCGGAGGGCAGGUCACAUACCUGCUGGUGGAAAGCCAGGCAGGAACCCUGUGUGGCCAUGACAUCAGCACGGAAAGGCCCCUGGACCUCAGCCUGUCCCCACUGCAUGGCAGGCAAGAAGCAGCAGCCCAGAGGUGGCCCCACGUUAGGGCCAGAGUCCCAGUGUGGCUCCCAUCUCCUGGGGCAGCUCAUGGCACUAGCCAGAAAAGCCCAGUCGGGGGAUCCAGGGGCUCAUGAGACAUGAGACAUUUGCUUCUUCCCUUGGACACUCCCUUCUAGGAACAGGGUGAGCUGGAGAGAGGCAACAGAGCAGGAGCAGGGAGCACUGAGGGUGGCUCCGCCUGAGGGUACAGCACACGUCCAGGGCUGUCUGCACACUAUUUCUCCCUCUCUUCUCACUCCCAAUUUAGAACAAGUGCCCAGGGGAAGAAAGAAGAAAAGAGAUGCUGCUCCUGCUGCCUGUGCCUCCUCCUUCCAGAGUGCUCUGCAGGGCAGGCUGCAGGCAGGGCCUUGUCACCCUGGCACCCUCCAGUUCUCCAUCUCUACCACUCCAUCUGGACCCGUGCGCCAGCUGGUAUCCAGGACCCCAACCUUUCCCUCUCCGUAAACGGGUCCGUGCAAAUUCAUGGCCCCAGCCCAUAAAGAACAGGGUGUUUCCGUCUCUUAGGCCUCAAAUGUUUUAAAUGCACAGAAAGAGAUAGUGAGUGUUCAGGGUGUCUCUGCUGCAUGCAUUCAGCAGGAGCUACCAUGGCCGACCUGGGCACCACACUUCAGAUAUGUGGCUCUGCACAGUACAAGAGAUUGGGCCAGUCAUCAUGUCCUACAAACACACAGCACGGAGGCAUUACCUACACCACAAACCCACAGGUGCUCAGGGACAAAUGUUUAAGCUACUGAGGCUGCACCAAGCUCAAACACAGAUGGCAUCUUUCAGAUCACCAGAGGCAGUGUCCACCAGACAUGCAAUUCCUCUGCAGGAGUCAGACCCCAGGUCACCCAGCUUGCUGGGAGGGUUCCUCCGGGGCAGAGGGAGACAUGCCCAAGUCAGACUGGGGAACACCAGCAGUUGACUUCCGUAGCGUUUGCCACCAGUACCAUCUUCCUCUGUAACUGUAUCUUCCCAACUUCUUGUGAAUAUCUCCACCAGAUGUUCCAUCAGCACUUAAAACUCACAUUUCAACACUUGAUCUGAAUUCCUCCAAAUCCCACUUCUUCCCCUGGGCACCUUGAUUCGGUGCUGGCACCACCAUCCACCAGGCAGCCAGAACCAAACUUUGGGCUUCUUCUCACUCUCAUGCUCCCAUGCAAACCACUGUGAAGUCAGGUCAUUGCUCUCUCUGAACUGUCUCCUAAAAUCACCCCUUUUCCCAAUUUCUACCCCUAACUCUCAAGGGAACCCCUCAUCCCCAUCCAUUUUGGCCAGUCUGCCUGGCACACCCUCACCCACGAUCCUUCCUGCAGCACAGAGCUUUCAUACCCUACUCAAGUAUCCAGCACAGGGAAGUUCUUUCCUCCUGGGUGUGGAGCCCAUCAGCACCCGGGUGAGUGUCGAGCCCACCUCCAUGGCACCCUUCUCUCUUGAGUCCCAGACAAACCAAGUGCUCCCAGCUGCCACCUGGCCCUGCUUUUCUGCCCUGCCCUUUGCUCAAGCCAUUUGCACUCAAAGUGACCUGUCCUUCAGGCCCAGCCUGCAUCAGACACACUCUUUCCCAGACCCAGCCCGCAACAGACACACUCUUUCCAAAUCUACAGCAGAGGAGGCCUGGAAGUUGGGUCUGGCUGCUCCAUCCAGGGGUCUUUGCCAAGCAGAUGCUUGACCCUCCUGGGGGGCCCCACUGGCCCCUCCUCCUCUAGUCUACCUAGUGCACCUGUGGUCUCAGAGUCCUCCACACCCAAAUCACCUCCAAGAAUCAAAACUGAAAUUGGGGAAGAAACAGUUCGCAUGCUUCUGAGGGAAAGAACCUAUCCCUCUAGUUCCCAAAUGUGUAGUCAACCCUGCCCGAGGGCUCCUGGAGAGAAGGGGAGGGAAGGGACGUCUGGACACAGGUCUCUUGUUGCACCCGAAGGCCCUGAGUCCAAAUACAGUCUCACUGGGAGCUGGGACUUCAGCGCAGGACUGGGGGGCGCCAUUCAGUCCACGAGAUCUGCAGCAUGUAGGGAGGGUGAGGUCGGGGAGCAGGCAGAGGCUUGUGCCCAGGCUGCAAAGUUUCUCAGCCUGUUGGGCAGGGAUACAGCUUUAAACAAAGAAGUCCAGUCAAGAGCCCUGGCUGCUGGCACAGAUCACCACACUGGAGAUGUGACACGCCACCUCGCCAUGGCGUCUGCCACUGAGAACGUCCCAAGCCAGGCCCUAACCCGCCUGCCUGGGUUUUUCACCCCGGGCUCUCUUCAGGGCCAUAACCUCUUGGGAUGGAUAAUGAAUGUUCAUUGAUUUUUAUUAGUAUGUGAAAACAAACACAUCUUAAGUAAUAAAUAAUGUAUUUAAAGUUAUCUAUGGUUGAAGUAUGUAUUACAAGGUCCAUUUACAUAUGAUCUUUAAAAAUAUUCCUAUAAUUUCCUCAUUUGGCAAGUGUUAUAUGCACUUUACUCCACUUUCAAAGUAAAUGUAAGAAAAACCCAUGGCUCAUCAAUACUUUUGAAGCAAACGACUAUUUUCUAUUUUAUUUAAGGACUGAGUGUAUGUUAGAAAAUCAAAUUACUUGCAUGUACUAUGUCUCCAAAUGACUUUUAUGAUCCAAAGUUUAGAAUAUUUUUAUUCAGAUGUUUAAAUAUCUGCUUCUCUAGAGAUCAUAUUUUGUUCCCAAACGGUGCAAGGGACUUUGAGACAUGUCUGAAACUCUUUCCAAACAGCACAUUGAUGGUGUGACAGCUCAUAUUCACAGUCAGCAAAAAGCAAAAUGGCUAUGACUACCAUUCUAUUUCCCCUUUUGUCCAUUGGAUGUGAGGGACAUCUUGACAUGUUAUGGAGGCAUCUUGCUAAAUGACUGACGUGUUAUGUAGGCAUCUUAUUAAAUGAUUGACAUGUUGUGCAGGCAUCUUGCUAAGUGAUUGACAUGUUAUGUAGGCAUCUUGUUAAAUGGAUGCAACUUAGAGACAUCCUGAGAUUUAUUUGCAGAA
Homo sapiens (human) is the source of this 8660-nucleotide long non-coding RNA. RefSeq lists it as uncharacterized. The record is from RefSeq and is a predicted model, not a curated record. The transcript is spliced from 3 exons. Lineage: Eukaryota; Metazoa; Chordata; Mammalia; Primates; Hominidae.